RNAcentral lists this ribosomal RNA (254 nucleotides) under uncultured bacterium. RNAcentral's name for it is "partial 16S ribosomal RNA". It matches the Rfam family "Bacterial small subunit ribosomal RNA", at positions 524 to 776 of the family's 1533-position model. The record is from RNAcentral.
UACGUAGGGUGCGAGCGUUGCCCGGAUUUAUUGGGCGUAAAGCGUGCGCAGGCGGUUUUGUAAGUCAGAUGUGAAAUCCCCGGGCUUAACCUGGGAACUGCGUUUGAAACUACAAGGCUAGAGUGUGGCAGAGGGGGGGUGGAAUUCCACGUGUAGCAGUGAAAUGCGUAGAGAUGUGGAGGAACACCGAUGGCGAAGGCAGCCCCCUGGGUUAACACUGACGCUCAGGCACGAAAGCGUGGGGAGCAAACAGG